GACGAACGCUGGCGGCGUGCCUAAUACAUGCAAGUCGAGCGAAGUUUUUCUGGUGCUUGCACCGGAAAAACUUAGCGGCGAACGGGUGAGUAACACGUAAAGAACCUGCCUCAUAGACUGGGACAACUAUUGGAAACGAUAGCUAAUACCGGAUAACAGCAUUAACUGCAUGGUUGAUGUUUAAAAGUUGGUUUUGCUAACACUAUGAGAUGGCUUUGCGGUGCAUUAGCUAGUUGGUGGGGUAAAGGCCUACCAAGGCGACGAUGCAUAGCCGACCUGAGAGGGUGAUCGGCCACACUGGGACUGAGACACGGCCCAGACUCCUACGGGAGACAGCAGUAGGGAAUCUUCCGCAAUGGGCGAAAGCCUGACGGAGCAACGCCGCGUGAGUGAAGAAGGAUUUCGGUUCGUAAAGCUCUGUUGUUAGGGAAGAAUGAUUGUGUAGUAACUAUACACAGUAGAGACGGUACCUAACCAGAAAGCC
Molecule: ribosomal RNA, 484 nt
Filed under: Gemella haemolysans
Lineage: Bacteria; Bacillati; Bacillota; Bacilli; Caryophanales; Gemellaceae
Description: bacterial SSU rRNA
Rfam family: Bacterial small subunit ribosomal RNA
Source: RNAcentral